UGGACAUCUAUGGAGAAAAGGAUGAGGGAGACAUAUCCAACUCUUGACAAAGAAAAGAGAUAGAGAGAGUUACCUUCAACAACCAACUAUUGAUUGUAAGAAAGAAGAGAUAGAAAGGGAGAAGGCGCCCCACUUUUUCUCUCAUAGAAAAUCCCUCACGCCAACACCUUAGGUGUCCAUGCUUCUCCAUGCCUAAUCUUAUC
RNAcentral lists this long non-coding RNA (203 nucleotides) under Elaeis guineensis (African oil palm). RNAcentral's name for it is "long non-coding RNA (EGUI_LNC075544)". Lineage: Eukaryota; Viridiplantae; Streptophyta; Magnoliopsida; Arecales; Arecaceae. The record is from RNAcentral.